AUUGAACGCUGGCGGCAGGCCUAACACCUGCAAGUCGAACGAGUGGCGGACGGGUGAGUAAUGUCUGGGCAACUGCCCGAUGGAGGGGGAUAACUACUGGAAACGGUAGCUAAUACCGCAUACCAUCGGAUGUGCCCAUAUGGGAGUAGCUAGUAGGUGGGGUAACGGCUCACCUAGGCGACGAUCCCUAGCUGGUCUGAGAGGAUGACCAGCAACACUGGAACUGAGAAACGGUCCAGACUCCGACGGGAGGCAGCAGUGGGGAAUAUUGCACAAUGGGCGCAAGCCUGAUGCAGACAUGCCGCGUGUAUGAAGAAGGCCUUCGGGUUGUAAAGUACUUGCAGCGGGGAGGCGUUACUCACAGAAGAAGCACCGGCUAACUCCGUGCCAGCAGCCGCGGUAAUAC
Molecule: ribosomal RNA, 406 nt
Filed under: uncultured bacterium
Lineage: Bacteria
Description: partial 16S ribosomal RNA
Rfam family: Bacterial small subunit ribosomal RNA
Source: RNAcentral